This 390-nucleotide long non-coding RNA is filed under the name Calidris pugnax (ruff). RNAcentral's name for it is "lncRNA (ENSCPUG00000008787.1)". The record is from RNAcentral. Lineage: Eukaryota; Metazoa; Chordata; Aves; Charadriiformes; Scolopacidae.
CGCCGAAGUCUGUAUGGAAUUACCUGCGCCCGCCGCGGAGCUGGCACCGGUGGAUGGAUGGGCGCCGCGUCCGCGGCACCGGCGGCCAGCUCAGCCCCAGGAGUAAACACGGGGCUUCUCCGGCCGAGUGCGCAGUGUGGUGACCGGCGCUCGCCCCGCUGACCGAUCGCACCGGAGGGAUAUUUUCGGGAGGCUCCUGUGGGAAGCAACCACGGAAAGACAGAAAAUGAAAGCUCCUAUUCCCAACUUGAUUCUCUUGUAUGCUACUCUGACUCAGAGCUUGAAGGUCGUGACCAAAAGGGGAUCAGGCAUUUAUCUGCUGCAUAUCCAAAAACUUAUCCGAACACUGAGGAAACAGAGUAGAAGGCACUGAAGUUAAUCAAAUAAGCA